CCUACGGGGGGCAGCAGUGAGGAAUAUUGGUCAAUGGGCGCGAGCCUGAACCAGCCAAGUAGCGUGAAGGAUGACUGCCCUACGGGUUGUAAACCUCUUUUAUAAAGGAAUAAAACGAGGCACGUGUGCCUUUUUGCAUGUACUCUAUGAAUAAGGAUCGGCUAACUCCGUGCCAGCAGCCGCGGUAAUACGGAGGAUGCGAGCGUUAUCCGGAUUUAUUGGGUUUAAAGGGAGCGUAGGUGGGUUGUUAAGUCAGUUGUGAAAGUUUGGGGCUCAACCGUAAAAUUGCAAUUGAUACUGGCAGUCUUGAGUACAGUAGAGGUAGGCGGAAUUCGUGGUGUAGCGGUGAAAUGCUUAGAUAUCACGAAGAACCCCGAUUGCGAAGGCAGCUUACUAGACUGUAACUGACAUUGAUGCUCGAAAGUGUGGGUAUCGAACAGGAUUAGAUACCCCAGUAGUC
RNAcentral lists this ribosomal RNA (460 nucleotides) under uncultured bacterium. RNAcentral describes it as "partial 16S ribosomal RNA". It matches the Rfam family "Bacterial small subunit ribosomal RNA", at positions 338 to 795 of the family's 1533-position model. The record is from RNAcentral.